This is a long non-coding RNA of Salvia splendens (bonfire salvia), 940 nucleotides long. RefSeq lists it as uncharacterized. Lineage: Eukaryota; Viridiplantae; Streptophyta; Magnoliopsida; Lamiales; Lamiaceae. The transcript has 3 exons. The record is from RefSeq and is a predicted model, not a curated record.
CCAAGUAAAAGUGAUAUGUGCAAAUUCCAAGUAAAAGCCAAUUGUAAGUUCAGGUGCGUGAAAAAUCUGUCGGACCUAGUCACAAUGAGUCCUAUGAUCAGGUUGCGCUUGAUAUUGAUUAUCAUCAGAAUAUGUUGACUUCCCACCAGAAGGUGAAUCCAAAGGAAGCCAUUGUUGGAUGGAUAGGUUUUCAACUGGUGGAGUAAUUGGUGGCAGUGCAUUGAUCCACGAGUUCUAAUAUUUCACUGGGUGUGUGCUUUACAUGAUAUCAAUGCAUUUAAACCUUCUAACUAGCAAAUAACAUUUUAUUGGGAAACAGUUGAUAUUAUGGUUUUAAUCUUGGGCACAGGAGGGAGAAGGGUAGGCUCAACAGCAACUUUCUGCAUUGUCAAGUUUGAAUUUUAAGCAUGAUGUUUGAUAUGUUUAAUUUAUUUAUCUAAUUACCUCUUGUCUUUCAUGUUCUUUCUAUCUGAUUUGAGGUCUAAGCCACUCUUCAGGACUGGGCAGCCAUUUGUUAUGCUCCAAGGUGUUUAGUAAAUUCUGCAGUUUCCGCUAGGUUUAAUGCCUUUGCAGUCAUAGUAAGUGUUUGAGGCCUUCUUUUGUUGCCGAAUUAAUCCUCAACCAUGUCCUUUUCUUCUUGCAGGACCAACUUCUGUUGCUUUAUUUGUCUAGCAUUACGAGAACACAACUUAGCUUAGCCGAAAAGCUCAAUACUGCUGCCCAGAUCCUUUGAUGGAUCACCAUUCUAGUUUCUCGGUACACCAUGAUAGUAUCUGUCAUGUAGUUUUUUUCUUUUCGAGAUGUACCAGUACGACCUUUCUUUUCAUUUAUGAUUUGCUUUGUUGAGAAUCUCUUUUUUUGGCCAGAACAAACUAGCUAUUUGCUUCACCUUUGUUUGUCCCUGGUAAAAAUUAUUAUGGAACAGCAAUCUAUAUUGAUA